AUUGAACGCUGGCGGCAGGCCUAACACAUGCAAGUCGAGCGGAGCGGCGGACGGGUGAGUAAUGCAUAGGAACGUGCCUGGUAGUGGGGGAUAACGUCGGGAAACGGUCGCUAAUACCGCAUACUAUCAGAUGAGCCUAGAUCGGAUUAGCUAGUUGGUGGGGUAAAGGCCUACCAAGGCGACGAUCCGUAACUGGUCUGAGAGGACGACCAGUCACACUGGAACGGAGACACGGCCCAGACUUCUACGGUAGGCAGCAGUGGUGAAUUUUGGACAAUUGGCGAAAGCCUGAUCCAGCCAUGCCGCGUGUGUGAUGAAGGUCUUCGGGUUGUAAAGCACUUUAAGUGGGGAGGCGGUACCAGCAGAAUAAGCACCGGCUAACUUCGUGCCAGCAGCCGCGGUAAUAC
Molecule: ribosomal RNA, 407 nt
Filed under: uncultured bacterium
Lineage: Bacteria
Description: partial 16S ribosomal RNA
Rfam family: Bacterial small subunit ribosomal RNA
Source: RNAcentral